Homo sapiens (human) is the source of this 2779-nucleotide long non-coding RNA. Lineage: Eukaryota; Metazoa; Chordata; Mammalia; Primates; Hominidae. The record is from Ensembl.
UGUGCCUCAUUGUUCUGAUUGCACAGACUUGGCUUAUAUCCCUGACAUGAACCCAAACACGAUGACCAGGCAGUGAAACAAGCAGGUUGACUUAACCUUGGUCGUACACCAAACCCUCGUAGAUUGAGAGAGAGUUAGCCUCAUGCUAAGCACAUAAGCUGAAUGUGGGGAAGUCAGCACACUGUGUUCCAAAAACAGAGAAUAGAUAAUGAGUGUCAAGGACAACAGAUGAAACCUCCGUGUAUUAUCUUUGUUUUGUCCAAAAUGUAAAACCUCAAAGGGAGACAGUUCAAGGUCUCAUUUAAUUAAUGUAUCCAUCUUCAAGUCUAAACUCUCUGAGGGAUGUGCACCCAGUGAGAUUAGGAUACAGGUCCCCAUGGUUCACUGAUCCAUGGCUAGUAAGUUUAACCAUCCCUACAUACCCACUGUGCAAUGGGGAGGAAGGACCCAGUACCUAUAACCAAAACACAUAUAGAAAGGAUGAGGGGGAGUGGAAAACAAUGCACAAUGAAUCCUACUUCAUAGUACACACCUAUCCCAUGGGCAGGAAAAGCAAUGACUCACUGCUCUGGCCAGACAAAGUCCAAUGUGGCUGACCUUGGCUCUGACCUCUUAAAUCAUUGCCCAUUUCCAUUUAUUUCCCCAUAGCUCCUGGUUCUCGUCUGUGGAAGGAUCCCCCCUUGAGUAUUGUCCUACUUAAGAGCUGGGUACUGAGGAUGAUGUCCUUUCAGGGAGCUGCACCUUUUUUGAAGCCCACUUCAUUUUGGUGUAUGUCAGGAGCCCUGAUAAUUAUUUUAGACGUUGACCAGAAACCUUUGGUGACUUAUCUCCUCUUCUCAGAAAUUUCACAUUCUAGGUUCAAGAGUUUCUAAUACAACAUUCCAGAAGUUAAUUUUAAUACAUGUAGUGCCCUUUUACUUGAAAAAGAUAAAAAGCUCAAAUCAAUCUGGCUUAAGCAAAAGGGGAAUUUUUUGGUGUAGAUAACCGAGAAGUCCAGGGAUAGCAUUGGCUUCAGGUAGAACUUGAUUUCAGCUGUGCACAAUGCAUGGUCUAUUGAUCUGCUUCCUCUAUGUCUAUUUCAUCCUCAGACUCCCUGUGGUGGCGACCAGUAUCUUCAAACUCAUACCAGAGUAAAGCCUUAUCCAUUUGGAGUUCUUUCUGAUGCAUUAUGUGAGGGGGUACAUGUGCAGUUUAUGUGAUUACACUGCAUGAUGCUGAGAAUGGGGUAUGGAUCCUGUCACGCAGAUAUUUUGGAUACAUCUGGAAUUGACUUUUUUGCAUGGUGUAAGAAAUAACAGUUCUUCCUGGAUCAGCCCUCUCCCGUCUGUCAUCUCCAACAGAUACAAAGCCAGCUUUAAGAAGACCAAACCUACAAAAAUCAUUCAUGCUUUCUGCCUCCAUGUUUUUCUUUCCAACCUAGUUCCUCCAGAAAAUGUAAAAGAGCAACCGAACCGUCAACUGGUACAAUGACUUCUACACAUCAGACCUCGGCCACGCCACAGUCAUCAGAUUAUUCUAUCACAGGGUCUCUCAACCGUGGAAUAUGGUCUCCAAGGGAAACAAGCCACAGAGGGCUCAGGAGCAUUGCUAUAAAGAGUAGGCAAAUGGAAAUCUUUCCCCAAAGGGCACACUGGGAUUGUUAGGCGAGGGCUGCUCAAUCCAUUAAAAGUUUAAACUCGAAAAAAAAAAAGAAAAAAAAAACCUUUUGAAAAAAUACAGAAAGCAACCUGUUCUAGAUUUUGUGUAUAAAAGAGAGUUUAUUCAGGGGACUGAAAUGUUGACAGUGAAUCAACUGGGAGGAUAUUUUCAAUCAGAACCGUCUGACUGACAGCUUUCAUAUUAUUAAUGCACAUACUAGGAGACAUCAAAUUUGAAGGGCAGGCAUUGUGCUAAGUCAGACUUCUACCUUAAAAUGCAUUACAUUUUGUCUGUAAAUCAAGGUCAGUUAUUAAAUUAAGGUGCUCUCAUCCCUAAAUACUUUAUUCCAUCAUCGUGUGUAAUUAAUCACAAACCCCUUACUUGGGGUUCUUUAGAAAGUGAUGAGCAAAACCCAUAAAAAAUUAAGAGAAAAAAUAACAGGUAUCUUUUAAAAAACAGGGAAUAAGUGCAAGGAAAUUUAAGUAUAAGUAAAAAAAUUUGCACGAUUCUUUAAAUAGAUAAUAGAUAUAAUAAUAAUAAUUUUGCAGCCCUACAAUUCCACAGCAUAUUAAUCUUUUCAAAUCUGUUAUUUUUCACCAUUAAAACAAUCAUGUAAAACAGGUGGAGUACUUCAAUAUUCCAAUUUCACAGAUGCAUACACUGAGUCAAGGAAAAGUUAAGUAUCUAUUAAGUCAUCCAGCUUACUGGAUAUGGAACUGAGACUUGAAAGCAUAUCUUCUAAAUCCGACCUCUUCUCUAAAGAUAGUGUCACCUUUCUCCAAAGAUAGUGUCAGGACAUAGAAAGCAGAAGUUAAACUGUAUGCGCUAUUCUGCCUUCCAUACUUAUUUUUCCCAAGAAGUAAUUUAAAAAACACAUUGGAGAUAAUGCUUGUGAAGCACUUUGCUAAAUGCUAAAUUGUCCGAACACUUUGGAAAAAAGUGGCAGUUUCUUAAAAAAUUAACAAAGAAUUACCAUAUGACCCAGCAAUUCCACUCCUAGCCAUGUACUGAGGAGAACUGAAAAUAUAUGUCCAUGUAAAAACUUAGAGUUAAAUAUUUGUAGCAGCUUUAUUUAAAAUAGCCAAAAAGUGGAAACAACCCCCCAAAAAUGUGCCUCAGUGAUGGAUGUAUAAAUAAAACA